GCUAGCGUAGCUUAUCGAAAGCAUGGCACUGAAGAUGCUAAGAUGAAAAAUGAAAAUUUCCGCAGGCA
RNAcentral lists this transfer RNA (68 nucleotides) under Squaliolus aliae (smalleye pygmy shark). RNAcentral's name for it is "tRNA-Phe". It matches the Rfam family "tRNA". From Rfam's summary of the family: Transfer RNA (tRNA) molecules are approximately 80 nucleotides in length. The record is from RNAcentral. Lineage: Eukaryota; Metazoa; Chordata; Chondrichthyes; Squaliformes; Dalatiidae.